GCCGGCACAGCUCAGUUGGUAGAGCAGAG
This 29-nucleotide transfer RNA is filed under the name Diploclisia glaucescens. RNAcentral's name for it is "partial tRNA-Phe". The record is from RNAcentral. Lineage: Eukaryota; Viridiplantae; Streptophyta; Magnoliopsida; Ranunculales; Menispermaceae.